GACGAACGCUGGCGGCGUGCUUAACACAUGCAAGUCGAACGGUGAAGGGACCGGUUUUUGCUGGUUCUGGAUGAGUGGCGAACGGGUGAGUAACACGUGAGUAACCUGCCCCCUUCUUCUGGAUAACCGCAUGAAAGUGUGGCUAAUACGGGAUAUUCUGCGCCUGCUGCAUGGUGGGUGUGGGAAAGAUAUUGUUUCGGUGGGGGAUGGGCUCGCGGCCUAUCAGCUUGUUGGUGGGGUGAUGGCCUACCAAGGCGGUGACGGGUAGCCGGCCUGAGAGGGUGGACGGUCACACUGGGACUGAGACACGGCCCAGACUCCUACGGGAGGCAGCAGUGGGGAAUAUUGCACAAUGGGCGCAAGCCUGAUGCAGCGACGCCGCGUGAGGGAUGGAGGCCUGCGGGUUGUAAACCUCUUUCGCCAGUGAAGCAGGCCUGUCCCUUUUGUGGGUGGGUUGACGGUAGCUGGAGAAGAAGCGCCGGCUAACUACGUG
Molecule: ribosomal RNA, 493 nt
Filed under: uncultured bacterium
Lineage: Bacteria
Description: partial 16S ribosomal RNA
Rfam family: Bacterial small subunit ribosomal RNA
Source: RNAcentral